CAUGCAUUUUCCAGUAGUGGCUCUGUAGUAAUGACCAAAAUAUAUUCAAAAUACAUAUUAAGAACAGUGUGCACACAAUAUGGCCAUAUUGUGUUAAGUCCAGCACUGUGUCUCAGUACCCCAAGUACCAGGAUUGGUGGCCCACUGGCUUAUUAUUGCCUAGAAAACUUGCCAGAGUGCAGGAAAUCAAACUCAUUGCCUGCCUACCUUGGAAAACAAAAAUAUAAACAUUCCAUCAACACAGCUCCCUCAACAUAAUACUUUGCCAACUACAGAAUUUUAUGAAUAUAUCAGACAUCAGGAGGGUAAUGAAUUUCACACUGUAUUACAAAGUAGCAGUAAUAAGGAAAGCCAUGACCAAUUCCUAAGACACACAAACAAUCCAAGUUAAAUGACCUGUCCCAACUGUAUUCCAAUGUGUAAAUGGACAAAACCAGGACUGAUGAUGUACCUUGUGCAUGGGGUUGGAAACCGUUGGCAAAGAUCAUGUGAGUCAGGCUCCAGGAAACCUGGAAUGUUAUUCAUUACGCUGUGUGAUUUGCAAAAUUUAAGUCAAAAUAACUAGGAAGAAGCAAUAAAUGUCUGUAUUGUAUACAUGAUAUACUUGAAAUUAGAUUUGUUCUUCUGGCCAAAUACAUGUGUGAAUAAAUUAAUUGAUCGGCUACUAUCUAGCAACAAAGCGAACAUUUAUUAAAAUGUGUCUUGAUGAAUUUAUUCUUUAACAGGGUUAUUCACCAAGGACCGAGCAGUCUGGAUUAGCAAUUUUUUUCUUAAAUUUCUAAUAAAUGAGCUCAUCUCAUAGGUAUCAUUGGUACCAUCCAGUGUCGAUCCAUUUAACGAUCUGUUAAGCUCACUUGUGAAUCUUGUAUAAAAUACAGUGGAACCUCGGAACGCGAACGUUCCCGUUCACG
This is a non-coding RNA of Pelobates cultripes (western spadefoot toad), 911 nucleotides long. NCBI's taxonomy places the organism in Eukaryota, Metazoa, Chordata, Amphibia, Anura, Pelobatidae. The record is from the annotation of a GenBank genome assembly.